This 302-nucleotide ribosomal RNA is filed under the name uncultured bacterium. RNAcentral describes it as "partial 16S ribosomal RNA". It matches the Rfam family "Bacterial small subunit ribosomal RNA", at positions 508 to 809 of the family's 1533-position model. The record is from RNAcentral.
GCAGUAGCCGCGGGAAUACAGAGGGUGCGAGCGUUAAUCGGAUUUACUGGGCGUAAAGCGUGCGUAGGCGGCUUUUUAAGUCGGAUGUGAAAUCCCUGAGCUUAACUUAGGAAUUGCAUUCGAUACUGGGAAGCUAGAGUAUGGGAGAGGAUGGUAGAAUUCCAGGUGUAGCGGUGAAAUGCGUAGAGAUCUGGAGGAAUACCGAUGGCGAAGGCAGCCAUCUGGCCUAAUACUGACGCUGAGGUACGAAAGCAUGGGGAGCAAACAGGAUUAGAGACCCGCGUAGUCCCUGUCUCUUAUAA